AUACGGAGGAUGCAAGCGUUAUCCGGAUUUAUUGGGUUUAAAGGGUGCGUAGGCGGAUGAUUAAGCGUGAGGUGAAAUGCCACUGCUCAACAGUGGAACUGCCUCGCGAACUGGUUGUCUUGAAUGCUCCUGCCGUGGGAGGAAUGUGUGGUGUAGCGGUGAAAUGCAUAGAGAUCACACAGAACACCGAUUGCGAAGGCAUCUCACGAAGGGGUGAUUGACGCUGAGGCACGAAAGCGUGGGGAUCAAACAGGAUUAGAUACCCUGGUAGUCCACGCAGUAAACGAUGAUAACUAACCGCUGGGUCGUAGUGAUUCAGUGGCCAAGCGAAAGCGAUAAGUUAUCCACCUGGGGAGUACGACCGCAAGGUUGAAACUCAAAGGAAUGGACGGGG
Molecule: ribosomal RNA, 394 nt
Filed under: uncultured bacterium
Lineage: Bacteria
Description: partial 16S ribosomal RNA
Rfam family: Bacterial small subunit ribosomal RNA
Source: RNAcentral